Molecule: long non-coding RNA, 2142 nt
Organism: Bacillus rossius redtenbacheri
Lineage: Eukaryota; Metazoa; Arthropoda; Insecta; Phasmatodea; Bacillidae
Exons: 3
Source: RefSeq, a predicted model, not a curated record
UGUUUUAACUCACGAGGUUUUUUGUGUUUUAUUUCCAAUUUAUAUUUUUUGGUGUGAGACAACACCGCCAUGUGGCGUCUCUGUUGAAAAGUUAACCUAAAAUCAUAUUAGGCCUACUCAGGUCCUAACAAUAACAAUAUAGGCACUUUCAAGUAUUUUUAUGGGUGUGAUACACGUUUGUUUAUAACGAUGUUUAUAAACUUUAUGAUAGGUUUAACUAUAACAUAAGGGAGUGAUUUUAUAAUUUGCAUUUAAUUAGUUUUUCAUCUGUUUGGGAGAUCACAAAAUAAAUAAAAAAACACUUCAUUAAUUUCGUGGACAAAGUCUGUCAUGUUUCCAUUUAGUGACCACAAAGCAAAUAUUUGUGACAAAAUGCCAUAUUUGGAACACUGCCUAACUGCGUAUUGUGAACGGGUCCCCGGAAAAGUGUUAUGACAAAUGUUUUUUUUUUUUGGUUAGGUACUACAAGAAAGACAUUGAAGAAGUUUCAACACCAGGAAAAAAGAGGAAAAAAAGGCCACAGGAAGGAAAGUCACUUGACACAGUCGACGAUUUCACAGUAAAUGCAAUCAGGAAUGCAAUUUACAGGAUGUACGCUGAAGGUUUGAAUGUUACAGUCGACACCAUUUUGAAAGAAAUCAGGGAAAGACAAAUAGAUUAUUAUGGUGGAAGAUCAAGUCUUCAUAAAUUGUUAAAGAAGAUGGGAUUUUCAUGGACAACUGUUGAUGGACGAAAAGCUUUGAUAGAGAAUGAAAACAUAGUAUUGAAGCGAAUAGAUUUCUUGAGAAGUAUAAAGAAGAAAAAGAAAGAGGUGCCAAUUUCAUAUUUGUUGAUGAAACAUGGAUUUUCCAGAGAGGCAAGGCAUUAAUUUAUUUGAAAAUUUGUUCUGUGGUCCAAUACAAAGUAUUUCAUUUCCAUUUCAUAUAUUUUUCAGGAACUGUAUCAAAGUCAUGACAGGAUAAGAGUCUACAAUCUGCGAAGAGACGUACUGUUGGAGAUGGUAAAAGGUUUAUUGUUGUUAAUGCUGGAGGGCGCACUGGCUUUGUGCCAGGAGCAGGAUUACUUUUUGUUUCAGGUCAGAAGACUGCAGACUACCAUGGCGAGAUGAAUGGGGAAACUUUCUUGAUGUGGUUUGAAGACAUGUUGGUGCAUCUGGAGGAACCCAGUGUCAUUAUAAUGGACAAUGCUUCAUAUCACAGCACCCAGAUGGGCGAGGUGUGUGGAUCACGUGGAGAAGCUAAUUCAAGCAGACUGGGAGAGAGAAGUCCACAUAGACAGCGGCACCAUUCCUCCACUCAUCAUCCACCUCGGCGAGGAUAGUUCAAGUGAAGACAGUGACAGCGAAGAAUUUGAGGUUACGACACAGCAAGUAGAUGGAGACAGUGAAGUACUGGCAGUUCCUCUUGAUGAUUUACCCGGGUGUUCUUAUUGAGGUCUGUAUGUAAUAAACACCUGGGCAACUGUAAGUAUUGGGGUUUGAAACAUUUUUUUUUCUUUUAUGCAUUCCCAUUAAGUAUGUUGAUUACUGGAACUUUAUGUAUUAACUUUAUAUUACACAUAUUAUAAAAUUAAUAAUAAAUUUCAUUUCUGGAUUCGUAUAGGUGUAUGUGAAACAUUUUAUUUUGUUGUGUCUCUUCAUUUUUCAGUGAACUUACUUGGAAAACAAAAAGCCAGUCCCCAUCCAGGGCCACAAAUAAAUAAUGCAUAUAAGUGGUAUAGAAAUUACUGUCAAUUCUUUACCACAAUUUUACUGUUCAUAAAAUUAUGAUUUUGUCUAAUAAGUAUACUCAGGAAAAUGUAUAUAACCAUAUUUUUAUUUGUGGCCUUAACCGGCAAAAUGGUAGGGGUUUAUUAAAUAAAAGAAGAAAAUUCAUUUUUAAAUGUUUUCAUCUGAAUUUGUUAAUUUUAUUAAACCUUCAAUCCUUAGUCUUUUCCAGAUUGCUUAGAUGGACAGCCAUAUGUAUAAUUUACAAUACUUUUUUUUUCAGAUGCAGAAAACUGUGUUGAACUGUACUAAAGGAUGAUAUUUAUUGCUUACAUAAAUGUUGUAAAUUUAUAUGUUCUCCUAAAAAUUUACUUUAAAUUAUAUGUUAUUUCUUUAGCUAACAAACUUAUUUCUUAAUAUUUUUACCAUUGGGUAUC